RNAcentral lists this ribosomal RNA (253 nucleotides) under uncultured bacterium. RNAcentral describes it as "partial 16S ribosomal RNA". It matches the Rfam family "Bacterial small subunit ribosomal RNA", at positions 524 to 776 of the family's 1533-position model. The record is from RNAcentral.
UACAGAGGUCUCAAGCGUUGUUCGGAUUCAUUGGGCGUAAAGGGCGUGUAGGUGGCGCCGUAAGUCGGGUGUGAAAUUUCGGAGCUUAACUCCGAAACUGCAUUCGAUACUGCGGUGCUUGAGGACUGGAGAGGAGACUGGAAUUCAUGGUGUAGCAGUGAAAUGCGUAGAGAUCAUGAGGAAGACCAGUGGCGAAGGCGGGUCUCUGGACAGUUCCUGACACUGAGACACGAAGGCCAGGGGAGCAAACGGG